RNAcentral lists this small nuclear RNA (178 nucleotides) under Marchantia polymorpha subsp. ruderalis. RNAcentral's name for it is "U4 spliceosomal RNA". The stretch from base 1 to 84 matches the Rfam family "U4 spliceosomal RNA". The record is from Rfam by way of RNAcentral. Lineage: Eukaryota; Viridiplantae; Streptophyta; Marchantiopsida; Marchantiales; Marchantiaceae.
AUCUUUGCGCUUGGGGCAAUGACGCAGAUAGUGAGGUGAAACCGAGACGCGUCAAUUGCUGGUUGAAAACUAUUUCCAUUAUAUACACACUUACCGAACUUCCUCUCCCUACGAGUUUUGCACAGAUAAGCUGGUUUCUUAAGUACUGCAGUAAAAAUUAUGUCAAGAAAGAGAUUUU